RNAcentral lists this ribosomal RNA (331 nucleotides) under uncultured bacterium. RNAcentral describes it as "bacterial SSU rRNA". It matches the Rfam family "Bacterial small subunit ribosomal RNA", at positions 568 to 898 of the family's 1533-position model. The record is from RNAcentral.
UGCGUAGACGGUUAGGUAAGUCGGGUGUGAAAGCCCCGGGCUCAACCUGGGAAUUGCAUUCGAGACUGCAUAGCUAGGGUGCGGAAGAGGGAAGCGGAAUUUCCGGUGUAGCGGUGAAAUGCGUAGAUAUCGGAAGGAACACCAGUGGCGAAAGCGGCUUCCUGGUCCAGCACCGACGUUCAGGCACGAAAGCGUGGGGAGCAAACAGGAUUAGAUACCCUGGUAGUCCACGCCAUAAACGAUGAGAACUAGACGUUGAGAGGGUAAGCCUCGCAGUGUCGUAGCUAACGCGCUAAGUUCUCCGCCUGGGGAGUACGGCCGCAAGGUUGAA